CUUCAUACUGACACAUUAAAAAGUGAAAUAACUAAAACCAGCAGAUGACUGCCCUCCAUGGAAUGAGUUUGGACACCUUCUGAUCUAGUGCCUUUCGACAGAAGCACAGAUCCAGGAACAGUCUCCAUUUCCUCAACCUUAACUAGUGUAGUAUAAGUUAACUACUAGGGGGGGGGAUCUGCAUGAAAACUGACCUGAGAUCAGUGUCGUGUUUUAUAAGAUGACCACUUCCUCUCUUUUACAGGUGACAUUCCUUUCCUCCUUAAACAUGUGUCGCGUUGUAUUCCUCCCCCCACUGAUUCAGUAGCAGGAAGGAGUUUUGAGGUGUCGCGUUGUAUUCCCUCCCCCACUGAUUCAGUAGCAGGAAGGAGUUGAGGUGUCGCGUUGUAUUCCUUCCCCCACUGAUUCAGUAGCAGGAAGGAGUUUUGAGGUGUCGUGUUUUAUUCCCCCCCACCCCCACUGAUUCAGUAGCAGGAAGGAGUUUUGAGGUGUCGCGUUGUAUUCCCUCCCCCCCCACUGAUUCAGUAGCAGGAAGGAGUUUUGAGGUGUUACGAUAUCAUAGAGCCUUUUAGCGUCACAGAAUACCAGUCUACUGAUAGCAUUAAUACAACGUUUGUUAGUUUGUACAUAUACCAGUAAUAGGAUCCAUGUUUCUCUAUCAUGUCUUUUACAUUUCUAGGAGAAGUUGUUGUUUUAACUCUAUUUUUUUGAGAUGAUCUGUCUGUCUGUGGAAGAUUUAUUGUUAAUAAUUGUAAAGGAUCAAAAAUAAAUGGGAG
Molecule: long non-coding RNA, 776 nt
Organism: Oncorhynchus tshawytscha (Chinook salmon)
Lineage: Eukaryota; Metazoa; Chordata; Actinopteri; Salmoniformes; Salmonidae
Source: Ensembl